Non-coding RNA from Aedes aegypti (yellow fever mosquito), 72 nucleotides. The record is from Rfam. NCBI's taxonomy places the organism in Eukaryota, Metazoa, Arthropoda, Insecta, Diptera, Culicidae.
GGCUCGGUAGCUUAAUUGGUAAAGCGCUCGUUCAGCUUACAAGAGUCUUGGGUCCAAAUCCCAGUCGAGCUC